Long non-coding RNA from Salvelinus sp. IW2-2015, 985 nucleotides. RefSeq lists it as uncharacterized. Lineage: Eukaryota; Metazoa; Chordata; Actinopteri; Salmoniformes; Salmonidae. The record is from RefSeq and is a predicted model, not a curated record.
UCCCACAGUGUGUGAGGAGCUGAGUGUUCGUGACGCUGGGGUUAGGCUGAUGACCUCCCUGUCCCUCUGUCCUGGAACGGCCCCCAAAGACACACAGCUGUUCCUGUACUUCAGUGUGGGGACAGCACCCUCCUCUGGCUUGGAGGGGGAAAUCAUUGUAGAGCAGUCCAGCACAGUUAAACAGUGUCUCAAGACAAUGUUGGAGUCAGCAAGACUUGAAGGGAACGGUUGGCAUCUAAGGAGGCUGGACUGGUGUGAGGAGGUGGGAGAGGCUUUGAUGGACGAGGUCAGUAACCAGAAUUAUAAAACGGGUUGUUUGGAUGCUGAUUGGUUGAUACAGGGAGUUAUUCACGACAAUCACCCGGGUAAUGCCUGUUAAGUUUAAUUUGAAUGAUCAAUGCUCCUUCAGCGUCCCACAGCCCAGCCAGGCAAUUAAUAAACUCCCCUGGAGAGAAAUGUCUCGACAGGAUUUCCCUAUGCUUCCAUCCUAGCAUUUGGUUUGCAACAGUUGAGGUUUGUCUAAACCUUGUUGCCUGCCAUCUCCACCGUGCCAUAGAGAUCUCCACCGUGCCAUAGAGAAUGAUCGUGUCCAGAGGAGACUCAUUAUAAUGGAUAUAUCCAAAGAAAUGGCAAUAGAAAUAAAGGUAAAACAAACGAAAAUGCACAUAGUUUGCUGUCAGUUCAGCUGCUUGUCGUGAUUGUGGGUUUGCUUUAGUUGACUAGUUGGCCAAGGAGAAGAAGCCAACUUGCAAUGCAAAAAGUGUUUUGCUUAGAAUGGACGACCAGCCCGCUUGGCUGACAACCAUGUCAAUAGAAUAGACAACCAGCCUGCUUGGCUGACAACCAUGUCAAUAGAAUAGACAACCUGCCCGCUUGGCUGACAACCAUGUCAACAGAAUAGACAACCAGCCAGCUUGGCUGACAACCAUGUCAAUAGAAUAGACAACCAGCCAGCUUGGCUGACAACCAUGUCAAUAGAAUAGAC